UCCUCGUCUUACUCUCAUUGUCUCCCUCCUCCUCCUCCUCCUCCUCUUCUUCCGUCUCCUAUUUCCCUUUAUGCAAAUUUUCCUUCCCUUCUCAUAAUUUCACUUGUUUUUCUUCCUCUUUCUCUACUUGUUUUUGUUAUUUUGUCUACUUCUCACACACAGAUUUCUCUCUCUCUCUCUCUCUCUCUCUCUCUCUCUCUCUCUCUCUCUCUCUCUCUCUCAAUCUGUGUGUGUGUGUGUGUGUGUGUGUGUGUGUGUGUAGGGAAAGGGCACCUGACAACACCACAGAGAAACGGAGGAAAGGAAAUAGGAAGGGAGGGAAAGUGAGGUAGAGACGCAGGGAGGGACAAACAGACGGAGGAGGAGGAAGGGAUGGAGGAAGGGGGUGAGUGGGAGGCAGGAAAGGGAAGGGGGAGAGGGAGAAGGAAGGGGACGCCCAGACUAACAAAUAAACAGUUCCUUUUAGUCUCCCGUAAACUCCUGUCGCCGCGAAGUCGUCUCUCAGGACCUUCCAAAUAUAGCAGCCAAGCACAGGUCCUGAAGCCACGGACGAGGAGGAAUUCACAAAGGAACCCGAAGUGAUGAUGAGGUUGAGAUGGACAAAAAUUGGAUGAAAAAUGUAAAAGCUUGAAAUGAAUAAAAACUGAUGGAAAAUGACGCUAAGGUUGAGAUAGAAUGAAACUGAUGGAAAAUGACGCUAAGGUUGAGAUAGAAUGAAACUGAUGGAAAAUGACGCUAUGGUUGUGAUAGAAUGAAACUGAUGGAAAAUGACGCUAAGGUUGAGAUAGAAUGAAACUGAUGGAAAAUGACGCUAAGGUUGAGAUAGAAUGAAACUGAUGGAAAAUGACGCUAUGGUUGAGAUAGAAUGAAACUGAUGGAAAAUGACGCUAAGGUUGAGAUAGAAUGAAACUGAUGGAAAAUGACGCGAAGGUUGAGAUAGAAUGAAACUGAUGGAAAAUGACGCUAAGGUUGAGAUAGAAUGAAACUGAUGGAAAAUGACGCGAAGGUUGAGAUAGAAUGAAACUGAUGGAAAAUGACGCUAAGGUUGAGAUAGAAUGAAACUGAUGGAAAAUGACGCUAAAGUUGAGAUAGAAUGAAACUGAUGGAAAAUGACGCUAUGGUUGAGAUAGAAUGAAACUGAUAGAAAAUGACGCUAUGGUUGAGAUAGAAUGAAACUGAUGGAAAAUGACGCUAAGGUUGAGAUAGAAUGAAACUGAUGGAAAAUGACGCUAUGGUUGUGAUAGAAUGAAACUGAUGGAAAAUGACGCUAUGGUUGAGAUAGAAUGAAACUGAUGGAAAAUGACGCUAUGGUUGUGAUAGAAUGAAACUGAUGGAAAAUGACGCUAUGGUUGAGAUAGAAUGAAACUGAUGGAAAAUGACGCUAAGGUUGAGAUAGAAUGAAACUGAUA
Eriocheir sinensis (Chinese mitten crab) is the source of this 1409-nucleotide long non-coding RNA. RefSeq lists it as uncharacterized. The transcript is spliced from 3 exons. Lineage: Eukaryota; Metazoa; Arthropoda; Malacostraca; Decapoda; Varunidae. The record is from RefSeq and is a predicted model, not a curated record.